UUCUACUAACAACAUUAGACAUUUAUGCUUUGCAGACAAUAGUGCAGAAACGGAGUGGAAAGAAAAUACAAUGUGAGGGCACGGACAAACAGCCCGGUAGAGGUGGUGCUUCCCGAGGAAAAACUGUGCGAAGAAUAGUGAAACUCACUCCCAAAGAUAAGGAGACACCGAAGAAAAAUAGAAAGAUCAUUCGAGCAGCCGAUAGGGCGGCUUAUCAUUCAACAGGGAGUGAGUACGAACCCUCCUGGGACAUCACUUCAGAGUCCAUCCC
RNAcentral lists this long non-coding RNA (271 nucleotides) under Nicotiana benthamiana. RNAcentral's name for it is "long non-coding RNA (NBEN_LNC004948)". The record is from RNAcentral. Lineage: Eukaryota; Viridiplantae; Streptophyta; Magnoliopsida; Solanales; Solanaceae.